RNAcentral lists this ribosomal RNA (460 nucleotides) under uncultured bacterium. Its description in RNAcentral is "partial 16S ribosomal RNA". It matches the Rfam family "Bacterial small subunit ribosomal RNA", at positions 338 to 795 of the family's 1533-position model. The record is from RNAcentral.
CCUACGGGAGGCAGCAGUGAGGAAUAUUGGUCAAUGGGCGCGAGCCUGAACCAGCCACGUAGCGUGAAGGAUGACUGCCCUACGGGUUGUAAACUUCUUUUUUAAAGGAAUAAAGUGAGGCACGUGUGCCUUUUUGUAUGUACUUUAUGAAUACGGAUCGCCUAACUCAGUGCCAGCAGCCGCGGUAAUACGGAGGAUCCGAGCGUUAUCCGGUUGUCUUGGGUUUAAAGGGAGCGUAGAUGGGUUGUUAAGUCAGGUGUGAAAGUUUGCGGGUCAACCGUAAAAUUGAAAUUGAUACUGGCAGACUUGAGUGCAGUAGAGGUAGGUGGAAUUCGUGGUGUAGCGGUGAAAUGCGUAGAUAUCAGGAAGAACACCGAUUGCGAAGGCAGCUUACUAAACUGCAACUGACAUUGCGGCUCGAAAGUGUGGGGAGCAAACAGGAUUAGAUACCCUAGUAGUC